This 1490-nucleotide ribosomal RNA is filed under the name uncultured prokaryote. Its description in RNAcentral is "partial 16S ribosomal RNA". It matches the Rfam family "Bacterial small subunit ribosomal RNA". The record is from RNAcentral.
CGCCCUUAGAGUUUGAUCCUGGCUCAGGAUGAACGCUAGCGGCAGGCUUAACACAUGCAAGUCGAGGGGUAACAGGUUUUAGUUUACUAAGAUGCUGACGACCGGCGCACGGGUGAGUAACGCGUAUACAAUUUACCUCUUACAGGAGAAUAGCCCAGAGAAAUUUGGAUUAAUGCUCCAUGGUAUUAUAGGAUCACAUGGUUUUAUAAUUAAAGCUUCGGUGGUAAGAGAUGAGUAUGCGUCCUAUUAGCUAGAUGGUAAGGUAAUGGCUUACCAUGGCGACGAUAGGUAGGGGUCCUGAGAGGGAGAUCCCCCACACUGGUACUGAGACACGGACCAGACUCCUACGGGAGGCAGCAGUGAGGAAUAUUGGGCAAUGGAGGCAACUCUGACCCAGCCAUGCCGCGUGCAGGAAGACGGCCCUAUGGGUUGUAAACUGCUUUUAUACAGGAAGAAACCACUCUACGUGUAGAGUGCUGACGGUACUGUACGAAUAAGGACCGGCUAACUCCGUGCCAGCAGCCGCGGUAAUACGGAGGGUCCAAGCGUUAUCCGGAUUUAUUGGGUUUAAAGGGUCCGUAGGCGGAUGAUUAAGUCAGUGGUGAAAGCCCACAGCUCAACUGUGGAACUGCCAUUGAUACUGAUUGUCUUGAGUACGUUUGAUGUUGGCGGAAUAUAUCAUGUAGCGGUGAAAUGCAUAGAUAUGAUAUAGAACACCGAUUGCGAAGGCAGCUCACUAAACUAUUAUUGACGCUCAGGGACGAAAGCGUGGGGAGCGAACAGGAUUAGAUACCCUGGUAGUCCACGCCGUAAACGAUGAUUACUCGGUAUUGGCUUCGGUCAGUGCCCAAGCGAAAGUGAUAAGUAAUCCACCUGGGGAGUACGGUCGCAAGAUUGAAACUCAAAGGAAUUGACGGGGGCCCGCACAAGCGGUGGAGGAUGUGGUUUAAUUCGAUGAUACGCGAGGAACCUUACCUGGGCUUAAAUGUAGAACGACCGGGGUGGAAACACCCCCUUCUUCGGACGGACUGCAAGGUGCUGCAUGGUUGUCGUCAGCUCGUGCUGUGAAGUGUCGGGUUAAGUCCCAUAACGAGCGCAACCCCUAUUUCUAGUUGCCAGCGGUUCGGCCGGGGACUCUAGAGAAACUGCCAGCGUAAGCUGUGAGGAAGGGGGGGAUGACGUCAAAUCAUCACGGCCCUUACGUCCUGGGCCACACACGUGCUACAAUGGUCGGUACAGAGGGCCGCUAACCCGCGAGGGCAAGCUAAUCUUCAAACCCCAUCUCAGUUCGGAUCGGAGUCUGCAACUCGACUCCGUGAAGUUGGAAUCGCUAGUAAUCGCGUAUCAGCCAUGACGCGGUGAAUACGUUCCCGGGCCUUGUACACACCGCCCGUCAAGCCAUGGAAGUUGGGGGUGCCUGAAGCCGGUGACCGAAAGGAGCUGUCUAGGGCAAAAUCAAUGACUGGGGCUAAGUCGUAACAAGGAUAACC